UUUCUUCUUAUGAAAUAUACUAUGCAACCAUUACUUGGAUUUAGUAAGAGAUCUUUUAUGUAUGAGUCUGAGUAUCUUUUAUAGGUCUGAUGGAAAAUGUAAAAUUGAGGGCUUACAUGGAUUAAGGA
This is a microRNA precursor of Cricetulus griseus (Chinese hamster), 128 nucleotides long. The record is from Ensembl. NCBI's taxonomy places the organism in Eukaryota, Metazoa, Chordata, Mammalia, Rodentia, Cricetidae.